CUACGGGGGGCAGCAGUGGGGAAUAUUGCACAAUGGGCGCAAGCCUGAUGCAGCAACGCCGCGUGGGGGACGAAGGCCUUCGGGUUGUAAACCUCUUUUAGUAGGGAAGAAGCGCAAGUGACGGUACCUACAGAAAAAGCACCGGCUAACUACGUGCCAGCAGCCGCGGUAAUACGUAGGGUGCAAGCGUUGUCCGGAAUUAUUGGGCGUAAAGAGUCGUAGGCGGUUUGUCGCGUCUGCUGUGAAAAUCCGAGGCUCAACCUCGGACCUGCAGUGGGUACGGGCAAACUAGAGUGCGGUAGGGGAGAUUGGAAUUCCUGGUGUAGCGGUGGAAUGCGCAGAUAUCAGGAGGAACACCAAUGGCGAAGGCAGAUCUCUGGGCCGUAACUGACGCUGAGGAGCGAAAGCGUGGGGAGCGAACAGGAUUAGAAACCCGCGUAGUC
This 443-nucleotide ribosomal RNA is filed under the name uncultured bacterium. RNAcentral's name for it is "partial 16S ribosomal RNA". It matches the Rfam family "Bacterial small subunit ribosomal RNA", at positions 339 to 795 of the family's 1533-position model. The record is from RNAcentral.